Small nucleolar RNA from Phragmites australis (common reed), 89 nucleotides. RefSeq annotates it as small nucleolar RNA Z159/U59. Lineage: Eukaryota; Viridiplantae; Streptophyta; Magnoliopsida; Poales; Poaceae. The record is from RefSeq and is a predicted model, not a curated record. The transcript has a single exon.
AUGUCCAAUGAUGAUCUAAAACUUAUACUUUCGUUCUUCUGAAGUUUGCGGUGUGGAAGAACAAAUUUGGAGACCUGAAAUGAGGAAAU